Molecule: long non-coding RNA, 14336 nt
Filed under: Nicotiana tabacum (common tobacco)
Lineage: Eukaryota; Viridiplantae; Streptophyta; Magnoliopsida; Solanales; Solanaceae
Description: long non-coding RNA (NTAB_LNC000876)
Source: RNAcentral
AAAGGUGUGAAGAAGUGAAUAAGCCGUGUACAUAUCUUUUGCCUUGAAGCGAUGUUUUAUUUGUCAUUGCUGUGCGAUUCCCCUCUCAAACAAGGUGACCUCAUUCAGAUUCCAAUGCCUUAUCUCAAAGAUCCCUUGUUAGGAUUUAUGAAAUGCUGCUGAUGAAGUAUGUCACUGGUGUGUGAUUCUUCCUGAAAUUUGGCAGAACAUAGUAAAUAUAUGUAACAAAGAGUGAGAGUAGGAUCUGACACCACGUGAUCUUGAGAAAUGGGAACGGGUUCCUGGUUGUACUUGUUGGUAGGACUUUCUUAUGGUGUUUUGACUGGUAUUUCCCUUGUUUUUCUGUACUUAUUCCUAAUAUUCCAGGAAAUAUUGGGUCACUUGGCUUAAUAUAUAGGAGUAGAAAGUUUUGCCAAGAGACAGUACGCUGUGAUGCAAUGUUUGGCCAAGCUUUUAAAAUUAGCUUAUUUUGAAAAGUACUUUUCUUAAAAAAAAUUUUAAAACGUAUUUUUGGUGAGAAUUUGUUUGUAUUUGGCUAGUUAACUUAAAAAGAACUUUUGAGUAGCAAUGUUUGACCAAACCUUUUAAAAAAUACUUUUUUCAAAAGUGAAGUUACUAUUUAUGCUUUUUAAAAACUGUUUUUGUUUUUACUCAAAAAAAACUUUUUCCCCCCUACAAAUUUGGUCAAAUAUUUUUACUUUGAAAAAAAAGAAUUUUGGCUAAAAAGAAGCUUGCCCAAAAGAGGCUAUAAGAGUGCAUGCUUUCUCUAUUUAUUAAACAUAAUGGGAAUACGAAAUGGCCCCGUUUUGAUGUCUUCAUUUGUCAUCUAUUUCCAUGAGCACCAUGUCGGUUGAGUUAUUCAAUCUCGAGUAAGCAGGUCUUACUAUGUCCACUUUCUAUUUGCUUGAGAACAACUCCAUGCUUUUUUAUUAUUGGUUCUUUCUUCCUUCCUCCUCUUUCUUUUUACUUUUUCAGCUUUUGUUUUUCGCGUCCUUAAGAUCUGUCGUUCUAUUGUCAUAUGCCGGUACCCUUAAGUCUUAUAUGCCGGUACCCUUAAGUCUUAAUGGAUGGUAUUGAUAUUUGGAAUUGGAAGCCACGUGAACAUGUUUGGCACAGAAAUUCCACCGUUUAUAAUUUUAUUAUGAGGGGAUCUGUCAAUAAACGAAACCAGUUUAUGGAACUACAAAGGAUUUAGGAGCAGCUAAUAGGGAGCAGACUAAGCUAGCAGUUUUGGAAUGUAAGGGGGAAAAACAAUAAAAAAUCCUCAGGAAAUUGUGAAGGGACAAUAAAUCCUCUAUUUAUUUUUCUUCACAUUCACUUCACCAUAUUAAGUGAAUAAAAGUUUAUAUACAACACGCUUAUUAUAUAUUUAGAGAUAGUUUGAUUUAGUUAUGGUGGGAUUAGUUAUGUGGGGAUUAAUGAUAUUAGGAGUUGUGCUUCUUUACCUGUAAAAUGGUAUAACUGAAUUUGUUACGUGGUUUAUAGAUAAGUGAGAUUUGAUCCAAAAACGAUAAAUAAACAAGAUUAAAAAUAAGACUUAGCGGUUAAAAUCAAAGGAAAUGACAAGCUUGGCUCCGAGAACAAUGCCUCUAGGGACAGAAAUAUCAAUGUAUAGAGCAAAUAAUGUUAUUUUAUUGAGUUUGAGAAUGAAAUAUAGCAUAAGUUUUGCCAAGAUUUUCUUGUCUUACAAUGGCUGUUCAACCUACUAUUUAUAGCCAAACCUAGGGAAACAAGAUCCUAAGAUCAAGUCCUCUUAAAUGACAAUAAAAGGGUCAUUAAUGAAUAUGUAACGGCAGGCCGUGAACGUAAAUAUUCUCUGCAAAGACUGUCUAUUUUAAUGCCAGGGAAUAUUCAUCAUUGAGUGCUAUCUGAUGGCAAACAUUCGAUCUGCUCAUGUUGAUCACGCUCCCUUCAGGGUCUAUUCGAUGCCAACUGCAAUUGUUGUUCCCGGUACGGGUUGUUACUUGAUUUACUUUGUAUCUGUCUUCGGUUACAUGUGUCACGCUACUAUUCGAUCAUAUAAUAUAAACCAAUUUUACCAUAUACGGAUAGUCUCCUUACUUUCCGAUGGCAUAUCUUUGUGUUAUCGGGAAGUUGGUGAAUAUCCCUUUCUUGGCGGGAAAUCUUCUGAAAAUUUUCUUAACAGUCUCUGACGCUUGAAAGGACGCACGUCUUCUCGCAUUUAAUAUCCCAAACACGUGUUGCCCCACGAUUUAGCAAUAUUUUUGCCAAUUCUCGAGGUAAUCAUGACCACGAUGUGUGCCAUGUAUAUCUUUAUUUAUACUCAUCAUUCUAACUCUUUCACUUCCAAAACUUUCAUAAGUUCAUCAUCUUCUUGGCGCUUAACCUCUUUCUGCUCUCAUCUUUUCCUGACUUUUUUCAAAAAAUUUCUCUAUCUUUUUACUACCAUGGCUUGUUUUAGUGAGUCUUUCGAAAACUCUGGUCUUCUCUUCGGUGGAGGCCUGAAGAGAAAGAAAGACAAAGAGGUUGAUGUUAAUGUUGAUCCUUCCACGGUGAGCAUCGUUAUACCCAAUCACCUAAGUAUCCUCAACGACUUUCAAGUGAAGUUCCCCUCUGCGUCUCCACGGACUUGGGCCGUUAGUAGAUACCCCUCCUCCAUUUGCCCUUCUAGUAUUCCCUUUGUGAAGGAGAACUGCAACUACCCAAACUUUAACAUCCUUGCUCCGGAUAUGAUAGAGUGGGUUACCUUAACCAAGGAAGGUUUUACAAAUGUCUUAUCAUGGGCGGACCCUUGGGCGCGCCCCGUGGAGUCCUAGCAAGCCUCCCAACGCCUAGCGCCACGGAUGGCCCCGUGGUCUUGGCUGCGCCAAGUGACAAGCGCGCAUGUGCUUCUGUCUCCCAACCGAUAUCCCUCGCCAGCGCCCAGCCGCAGGCAUAUGCCAACAACGCCGCGCCCGCAGACCGUGAUGCCAAAGACAAUGUUGCUGACAACGACCUGUUUCUACCUUGCAGAAAACUAAGUCCUUUUCAUUGUAAAUAUAUAGUAGUUUUAUUUCAUGUGCUUCCAUUAUGUUUCUCUAGCUUAGUUAAGUCUAGUCUUGUAACUUUGAUUUAUUUUUUUUAAGCACUAUUAGGGUGGAUCAAGCAAUCAAACUUUCUAGCAAGCAAACAAUUCUCUGUACUGGUGUCUCUCUCCCCUUGACACCGUGUUGCUUUUCUGUAAUAGCUUUCAUUAAUUCAAUCAACCUUUCUUUCAUUCUCAAUUCUCAUUUCUAUUCUCUCAAUUGCUCUUGACAUUGGUUUUCCUAUACGACACUGACAAUCUCAUCUAGCAUAUGGAGAGGACCUCAAUUGGCGGAUAGUAACUGCACUGACAUCAGUUGCUUAACUUUAUGUCGCCCUUCCAAGGACUCUAAGGAAGGCGUAGCGUAAUAGUUGGUAUCAGAGCCUAGGCUCGACAUCGGACGAGGGAACAUAUUGCCAUUACCACCAUUUCUAAACAUGGUGAUUCAUAGGGAUCGCAUUGCGGCCCUCGAAGAGACGGUUGACGUAUUACGACCCAUCGUGGAUAUGGUGCCUGAAAUAAGAACCAGCCUAGUGCAAAGGUUGGACGACCUGGACCGCAGAAUGCUCCAGACCGAAGUUGACAUAGAAAACAUCAGUCACAACUCUGAUGGAGAUCGGCAAAUAGCAGCCACAGAGGCAGCCAAAAUUUUUGGCAAAUUCGAGGCCCUCCAACAAGAACGUGCCGAGGAUUUAGCCUACAGGGCACAAGAGGCAAAGAAGGUGACUUCCAUGCAACAAACUAUAGACAACUUGAUAGGCCAACUCAAUGUUGUCAAUGCUUCUUUACAAGGCCUGCUUCGAGGAGGCAAAAACCAAAUCGGGGGUGUUGUGAACCUCGCCUCCAUGGCACAAAAACUGAAUAUUCCUGAACCAAAGCCAUACAAUGGAUCUCGGAAUACCAAAGAAGUGGAAAACAUCAUCUUCGACAUCGAACAAUACUUCGAUGCCGUGGGGGGCCUGGAAGAAGCUAAGAAGGUAGCAACUGCUGCCAUGUAUCUUCAGGGUGAUGCUAAACUCUGGUGGUGGGUGAAAUACGAAGCCAUCAGGGCUGGUGAAGAUGCUCUCGAGACAUGGGCAGAACUGAAGACAGCCAUACGCCUACAGUUCUUCCCCGAAAAUGUUGAAUACAAUGCAAGGAGAAAGCUACGGGAGCUCCGCCAGACCAAAUCAGUGCGAGACUACGUACGAGAAUUCUCCGCGCUCAUGCUAAACAUAUGCGACAUGGGGGAAGAAGACAAACUCUUCACCUUCUUAGAAGGGUUGAAACCUUAUGCCCGUAUAGAGUUGCAAAGACAAAGGGUAGAUACCAUACCCAAGGCGAUCCAAGCAGCUGAUUGCCUUGGGGACUAUCAAGUGGAGGCUCGAAAGGAUAGGCCUCAACCGCCUACCCGAGCGGGAUACAAAGGAGGCUAGCCUAGCAAUGGUGGCCCUAGCAGAAGUGGGGGAGAUCGAAGUGCAACCAAAUCUAAGGCUCCCUCCUCAGGCAACAAUAGUGCUGCGUCAAACAACAAUGAUCGGGGGAGAAAACCCCCUUUAGGAUGUCGUUAUUGCGGCAGACCACAUUGGAAUAAUGAAUGUCCACAUGCACAGAUGAGAUGAACGCCCAUCAAGCUUUUGAUGAUGGAACGGAUGACGAAAUAGACGAUGCGGACCAGACUGAACUAGUAGGUGUCUUCAACGCAAUUGUUGGCCCAAUUUCUGAGGCCUUAGCGGAAACCAGUGCUGGUAUCCGUAAGAAGAAGGACCCAUGUCCUAGCACCAAGAAAGGAAAAAGGAAGGCAGAUAAGAGGAGUCCUCCCAAACAAGAAAGGACCUUAAUGUUCGUCGAGAUGAAGGUAACUGGCAAGCCCAUUCGGGCGAUGGUAGACAUGGGUGCUACCCACAACUACUUAGCCUCAACUCAUAUGGAGUGCCUUGGUCUAAUUGUAGGAAAGGGCAGAGGUAGUGUCAAGGCUAUCAACUCACCUCCUCAGCCAGUGGGUGGGAUAGCUAAAGAGGUACCAGUGAAGCUUGACCCUUACGAAGGAAAAUUCAACCUGCGCGUGGUGAUCAUAGAUGACUUCGAGUUGAUAGUUGGAUCGGAAUUCCUGAGGCAAACCAACACCAUGCCCGUACCGUAUGCUGACAUGUUACUGAUGAUGGGAGCAAACAGGGCCAAGCCAUGCAUUAUCCCAUGCAUUCCUAGGAAGAUGGCCGUUGAGAACAUCUCGGCCUUGCAGUUGAAGAAGGGGGUCAAAAGACAUGAACCUACGUUCCUGUCAACACUCUGCAUUGAAGAUAUAGAGCGCUCCUCGGGUCCUAUUCAUGCACCCGUGAAGUAGCUGCUACUGGAGUUUGAAGAUGUCAUGCCACAGGAAAUGCCAAAGUGACUCCCGCCUAGGUGCUCUGUGGACCAUGAGAUUGAGUUGGUGUCGGACGCGAAGCCACCCGCCUGGGCGCCUUACAGAAUGUCACAACCCGAACUCAUCGAGCUUUGGAGACAAUUGACAGAAAUGCUAGACAUAUGGAUCAUCGUGCCCUCCAAGUUCCCAUAAGGGUCCCCUGUGCUAUUCCAAAAGAAACAUGAUGGCCGCUUGCGACUCUGUGUGGAUUAUCGGGAUCUAAACAAAAUCACUAUGAAGAACAAACCCUAUUCCGCUAAUGGCAGACUUGUUUGAUAGACUGGGUGGUGCGACAGUGUUCACCAAGAUAGAUCUGAAGACAGGUUAUUGGCAAGUUCAGAUUGCAGAGGGUGAUGAAUACAAGACGACCUAUGUAACAAGAUACUGGUCGUAUGACUUCCUGGUCAUGCCGUUUGGCUUAACUAAUGCCCCAGCUACAUUUUGCACCCUGAUGAACCAAGUUUUUCGAGAGUACAUUGACGAAUUCGUGGUGGUCUACUUGGAUGACAUUGAGGUAUAUAGAAAAACACUGGAUGAACACAUGGAGAACUUGCGGAAGGUCCUAGCCCAAUUGCGGGAGCACGAACUACAUGCAAAGCUAUCCAAGUGCUCCUUUGCUAAAAAGCAGAUUGACUUCCUCGGACAUGUCAUCGAGGUAGGGCGGAUCAAGAUGGACUAACAGAAGAUUCAGGAAAUCACAGAUUGGCCGCUGCCUAAGGAUAUCCACGCCUUAAGGGUGUUCCUUGGCCUAUGCAACUACUAUCCACGAUUUGUGAAAAACUACUCCAUCAUCGCAAUACCAUUGAUAGAACUCCUCAAGAAGGUCACACCUUGGGAUUGGGGACCCAGGCGAGCAGAGGCCUUCAACGCAUUAAAAGCGGCUAUGUCUAGCAGCCCCGUCUUGGCCCUCCCUUAUUUGGCCAAGCCAUUCGAAGUCAAAUGGAUGCAUCCGACUAUGCCCUCGGCAGAGUCUUGCUAAAAGAAGGUAAUCCUGUAGCGUACGAGAGCCGAAAGCUGAAGGAUGCAGAGCGGCGCUAUACCGCCUAUGAGAAAGAAUUAUUGGUUGCCUUCCAUUGCUUGCGCCUUUGGAGGCACUAUCUGUUGGGGACCCCGUUCGUGGCCAAGACAGACAACACAGCUGUUAGCCAUUUCAUGACCCAGCCAAAGCUGAAUGGUCAACAGGACAAGUGGCAGGAACUCCUAGCUGAAUUCUACUUCAACCUGGAGUACCGAAGUGGGAAGACCAAUCAUGUUGCUGAUGCGCUUAGUAGGAGAGCUGAUCUAGCAUCAGUGUGUCUACUCGCCACCCUAAGGGGGAGAGAAAUAUCCACUACCAUCAAGGAUAGAUACAGGAUCUAAUCAUCAAGGAUCCUGCUGCAUAGUAUUUGGUUGAUUUAUAGGACGGGGCAAGACUCGCCAGUUCUACAUGGAAGAUGGUUUCCUGAAAGUGAAAGGGAACCGACUUUAUAUUCCUAAAGGAGGAGAUCUGCGAAGGACUCUUCUGGCGGAAUGUCACGAUACUCUGUGGGCCGGCCAUCCCGGUAAAGAAUGCACCAUGGCGUUACUUCGCCGUGCAAAUUAUUGGCCUCAAAUGGCCGAUGAAGUCGCUCAGUAUGUGAAGACUUGUCUAGUAUGCCAGAAGGACAAACCUGACCGCUUGACACAAGCGGGACUCUUGGAACCACUAGCUGUCCCAAAGAGACCUUAGGAAAGCGUCUCCCUAGAUUUCAUCACUAGAUUGCCCAAGCUCGGAGAUCUCACAACUAUCUUAGUUGUGGUGGAUCGGUUUUCCAAGUAUGCUACCUUUAUAGCAGGCCCACAAUAUAUAUCAGCAGAAGAUACAGCUCGACUCUUCUUCUCUCAUGUCGUCAAAUAUUGGGGCCUGCCCAAAGACAUUGUUAGUGAUCGCAAUUCUCGCUUCACUAGCAACUUUUGGACCCAACUCUUUAGGUGCCUUGGGUAAGAAUUGAGUCACAACUUAAGUUUUCAUCCGCAAUCUGAUGGUCAAACAGAGCGGUUCAAUAGUAUGUUGGAGGAAUAUCUUCGCCACUUUGUAACCGGAUCGUAGAAGAAUUGGGCGAAGCUUCUGGAUGCUGCUCAACUGUGUUUCAAUUCACAAAAGAUCUCUAAUAAAAACAAAAGCGCUUUUGAAAUUGUUACCGGACAGCAACCGCUACUCCCACACACCGUGAAUGCACCAAACAUGUCUAAAUCUCCUCGAGGUGCUAGCUUCUCAAAAGAAUGGACGCGAAAUUUAGAGAUAGUGUGGAGUUAUCUUGUCAAAGCCCAAAAGCGGAUAAAGAGACAUGCCGAUCAAAAUCGUCGCUUUGUUGAAUACUAAGUAGGAGACAAAGUGAUGGUCAAAAUCCCAAAGCGGUACUUGUUUGUGAGGGUCCAUGACCAUCGCCUAUUGCAAAAAUACAUUGGACCCUUGUCCAUUGAAAGGUGCAUUGGGAAAGUUGCAUACCGGGUGGAUACCCCAGCUUGGUGGAAAAUUCAUCAUGUCUUCCAUGUCAGCCUUCUGAAACCUUUUCAGGAAGACACAGAGGAUCCUUCACAAAGCCAGCUCACAAUACCCAGUAUUCGAGGCCCCAAUUCAACCAGGAAAAGGCUUGUUGAAGCUAUCCUUGAUGAUCGAGUGAUUCAUGCCUCAAGGAAAGAUCACCAAGAGUUCUUGGUGAAAUGGUAGGGUUGUGAUGCAGAGGAGAAUACUUGGGAGAGGGGAACAAACCUCAAAUCCUAUAAGAUCAUAAUUGAUGAUUAUCUUGCAAGUAAGGUGCCGAGGACAUCGCCAACUCAGGUAGGGGAGAAUGUCAUGGGUAGCUUUCCAGCCGUGUGCCAUGACCCUUUGGGCGUACCCCUAGCGUCCCAACAAGCCUCCUAACGUCUAGCGCCACGAAUGGCUCCGUGGUCUUGGUUGCGCCAAGUGACAAGCACACAUGUGAAUCUGUCGCCUCAUUGAUAUCCCUCGCCAGCGCCAGCCGCAAGCUGAUGCCAACAACAUCGAGCUUGCAGACCGUGAUGUCAAAGACAAUGUUGCUGACAACUAACUUGUUUCUGCCUUGCAGAAAACUUAGUCCUUUUCAUUGUAAAUAUAGAGUAGUUUUAUUUCAUGUACUUUAAUUAUGUUUCUCUAGCUUAGUUAAGUCUAGUCUUGUAACUUUGGUUUAUUUUUUUUAGCACUAUUAGGGGGGAUCAAGCAAUCAAACUUUCUAGCAAGUAAACAAUUCUCUGUACUGGUGUCUCUCCCCCUCGACACCGCGUUGCUUUUUUGUAAUAGCUUUCAUUAAUGCAAUCAAGCUUUCUUUCAUUCUGUUCUCUCAAUUGCUCUUCACAUUGGUUUUCCCGUACGACAUUGACAAUCUCGUCUAGCGUACGGAGGGGACCUCAGUUGGAGGAUAGUAACUACACUGACAUCAGUUGCUUAGCCUUACGUCGCCCUUCCAAGGACUCGCAGGAAGGCGCCGCGUAAUAGUCUAUAUGUACACUUCACCUUGGGUCCCUUUUAUUUGAGUGGAUGGCUCGACCCCGUGAUCUUGGAGUUUUGCCAUUGGUACCAAGUCUGUUUGGCGCAAGUAGGCCCUUCUAUAUGGCGAACGGUAGCUUAUCUACACCGGCUAUGCACGGAGACUGGGAAAAUCCUAACCCUGGCACACAUGAUGAACCUCUACUCCCCCAAAAUAUUUCAUUGGGGGAGUAAUAAAUUUUAGUAAACAUGUCCAACAUGCCCUUCUCACCCGCGUGGAUGAUGACAGUGACCACAGAUGGAUGGAGCAGUUUGUCAUCAUUUCUACCAGGGAUAUAAUUCCGGCCACAAUUCCAUCUUUUCCUAAAUCAUGGAAUCGUUCACGUAAGUUUGUAAUUUAUUCAUCUCUUUCCUUCGUAAAACCAUUGUUCCCCGUCAUUGUUGACAUUUUUGUCUCUUUUGUUUCAGCUAGAAGGUGGACACCACCAAGGGUUCAAGGCCUGGACCAGUGGGUUCAGAAGAUUCUGGAUAUUACAAUGCAAGAAACCCGUCGGCAGGGGUGUUCAUGGUUUGGUUUGAGUCGAUUUUUCCCUAAAAAAACCAAACCAAGUAAGUCGGUUCUUCAAAUAGUGGAACCAAACCAAACCAAUUAAGUCGAUUUUUUAUCGCUUCGGUUUUUUUUUCCGAUUUUUGUCGAUUUUUCGGUUAUUUAUAGGUUUUUUCUUAAAUAUGAUACAUAUACUACCAAACGCAUAUUUCGACCGCUACAUUUUCAACGUAACACUAUCAAAUCAAUUGCUCUUUGAGAAAUCUAUCAUUUACCAAGAUAUAUUGAUGAUAAUUGAAUCUAGUGAUGAAUAAUUUAAGUACUCAAUUAAAUAUCGAUUAUUUUUAACAUGAAAUAAAUUCUUGUACUUAGCAAGAGAAAACUACCAAUCAAACUAGAAUGUAAAGGCAAAAAAUUAGAUUAUUAUAAUAGCGAAGAGCUAGACUAAAAAUACAAAUGACUAAUAUGUACCAUAAAAUUUUAAAAUUUUUAUAUAAAAAUAUACAUUCAUAUAGGUAUAAUAAUAAGUUCAAAUAGCUACUUUGUAGUCGGUUUGGUUCGGGUUUUUUGGUUAUUUUUAUUAAAAACAAAAUACACCAAAUUUGACCGGGUUUUAAAAUUCAAAAUCAAAACCAAACCAAACCUAAAAAGUAUUGAUUUUUUGGUCGGUUUGGUUCGAUUUUNNNNNNNNNNNNNNNNNNNNNNNNNNNNNNNNNNNNNNNNNNNNNNNNNNNNNNNNNNNNNNNNNNNNNNNNNNNNNNNNNNNNNNNNNNNNNNNNNNNNNNNNNNNNNNNNNNNNNNNNNNNNNNNNNNNNNNNNNNNNNNNNNNNNNNNNNNNNNNNNNNNNNNNNNNNNNNNNNNNNNNNNNNNNNNNNNNNNNNNNNNNNNNNNNNNNNNNNNNNNNNNNNNNNNNNNNNNNNNNNNNNNNNNNNNNNNNNNNNNNNNNNNNNNNNNNNNNNNNNNNNNNNNNNNNNNNNNNNNNNNNNNNNNNNNNNNNNNNNNNNNNNNNNNNNNNNNNNNNNNNNNNNNNNNNNNNNNNNNNNNNNNNNNNNNNNNNNNNNNNNNNNNNNNNNNNNNNNNNNNNNNNNNNNNNNNNNNNNNNNNNNNNNNNNNNNNNNNNNNNNNNNNNNNNNNNNNNNNNNNNNNNNNNNNNNUGACUGCGAGGAGGUCGCGAGAUUGUUAUAAAGUGAUCUCGCUUGAAGUGGUGCCCUUGGAUAUGCUUUCAGUGGGGGUGCUUCUUCUCGGAGUCCCCAGUCAGAGAACAGGCAACCAAGAAGGUAGUGUUCUUCCUUAGCUGGGAAUAACAAUGAGAAAAUAAAGAAGGCCACAACCGAGCCCGCCGUGGCCAUAGUGGUCAUUGAAGUUAUGGGAAGCUAGUGAUGAAAGGGCUUCCCUUCAAAGGAGACAAAGAUUUUCAUUAGCUAAUCCGAGUGUUCAACCGGGAGAGCUUAAAACCCUAACUGAAGGUGAGGUCCGAGCACUUUGGGGUGAAAUGGAGAUAGUAGAGAAUGCUGAUUUUCGCUUUCCGGCCCUAUUACUAUUUCUAGUCCCAGAAGGUCGAAACCCGGGCCUCUUCUACCUUCGGUCGAUGAGAAACCAAUAAUCACCACUGCUCUUGUUGCAGUUUCUCCUCAACCUACAACACCAACAACUUCAUGCCCCUCUGCACUAGCUAUACUUUCGCCACCAGCAUCCGCUGCAUCUCCUCCACCAGCCACAGAUGCCCGAGAGGAGGGUGCUGCUUCUCCUUAGUCUCCAAACCAUGGGAAUUAGGGGCACAAUUACUUGAUUUACUUUCUACCUAUCUUCGGUUCCACGUGUUACGCUACUAUCCGAUCAUUUAAUAUAAAUCAAUUUUACCCUAUACAAUGGUGAGAUUAGUUAUCCUGGUAUUAUUUUUUAUUGACUAUUUGAUAUGUUGUGUUAAUCCUGGGAUUGUCAAUUUUACUACUUUAUCUUGGAAUAAAUUAUCUUGGGAUUACUAUUCCAUCCUCUAGCAAGUAUAAGUUAUGUUGGUGCUAUUUUAAUUCUGGGAUAACUUAUCUCAAGAGUAAUAACCAAACAAUAGUUAAGGAGGUACUAAAUGUCACGACCUAAAAUCCCAUCCAUAGGGCCGUGAUGGCGCCUAACAUUCGCUUGCUAGGCAAACCAACAUUAGCACAAUAUUAAAGAAGUUAAACAAUUAAAGUCAAAUUAAUAAUAAUAAAAAAGAGAAAUCUUAUAAAAUAUAUAAUAGCUCUACAACCAUAGAUUAUUCCCAGAAUUUGGUGUCAUAAGUACAUGAGCCACUAGAAUAAUGCAUAUAAAGUCUGAAAAGAAACUCAAUAGUGUCUGACACAAGAAAAACAUCAAUAAAGAUAGGAAGGGGACUCUAGGGUAUGCGAACGACAAGCAACACUACCUCAAGUCUCAUGUUAAAGGGUUCAAACAAUCACCUCUGAACGCCGCUGGGACCAACACGAGGAUCUACACAAGAAGUACAAAAGUAUAGUAUGAGUACAACCGACCUCAUGUACUUAUUAAGUAUCGAGCUUAACCUCGAUGAGCUAGUGACGAGGCUAUGACAAGACACUCACUGUAAACUUGUACGUAUAAUAAGCAGAAAACAAUAACAAGGUAGAGAAAGGAAUAACUACAUAAUAAAUGGAAUAAGAAAAUAAACGACAGAGGGCCCAGAAUAUCAUCACAUUAUGGUCUCACAACACAAUACGGUAGCGGAAUAUAACAAUCAAGAAUAGUUGCAAUACAUCUUGUCUGUUGCGGCGCGCAACCCGAUCCCAAUAUAUAUCAAUAAUCAUACCGUUGCGGCGUGCAACUCAAUCCCAAAAUAUAUUAAUAACAAUACUGUUGCGGUGUGCAACCCGAUCUAAUUAUAUCAAUAAUAAUAUUGUUGCGAUGUAAAACCCGAACCAAAUAUAUCAAUAACUAUAUUGUUGAUGCGCGUAACCCGAUCCAAUCAUAUAAAUAACAACCAAAUUCAUCAAGUCUCACAAGGUACAUAAAAGAGAAUUAAAAGUGCAGAAUUUGCCAAGAAAAAUACAAGCACGGAUAAAGAGGAUCAUACAAUUCGAUGUUCACGAACCUGUCUCACACUAUAUGUCAAUAAAGACUUCGACAAAUCGUAACACGAGAACAAUUAAAGAUCACACAAUCUGACAUAACAUAAUAUAAUGAAACAAGAAGCAAGUAAAGGCAGUAAGGCAAGUGAAGACAUGAAACAGUAAAAACACUUAUCUAAUAACAUGUGAGCAUGUAACAAGUAAAGGCGGACGAUAAAUAAAAGCAUGAAUAAGUGAAAGCGCGCAACAAAUAAGGACAUGUAACAAGUGAAGAUACGUAUAUAAUAAGUAAAGGCAUAUAUCAAGCAAAAGGGCAUAACAAGUAAAAACAUGGAAUAAAUAAUUAAAGGCAUGAUAUAAUUAAAGAUAUAAAAUAAAGUAAUACACCCCACAUGCUUAACCCAUAAUGACACAUAUAAAUAAGUAAAGGCAGUAAGGCAAGUAAAGACAUGAAACAGUAAAAACACUUAUCUAAUAACAUGUGAGCAUAUAACAAGUAAAGGCGGACGAUAAAUAAAAGCAUGAAUAAGUGAAAGUGCGCAACAAAUAAGGACAUGUAACAAGUGAAGACAUGUAUAUAAUAAGUAAAGGCAUAUAUCAAGCAAAAGGGCAUAACAAGUAAAAACAUGGAAUAAAUAAUUAAAGGCAUGGUAUAAUUAAAGAUAUAAAAUAAAGUAAUACACCCCACAUGCUUAACCCAUAAUGACACAUAUAUACUCUCCGCUUUGUAUAUACGUCGUCCUCAUGUAUAAAUCACGCAGCAAAUAUACCAAUCAUGUUCUAAUUCCGUCAAAUCAAAGUUAACCAUGAUAAUUACCUCUUUUCAGAACAAGAUCAACAAUCCGACACGGUUUUUUCUUUAGAACAAGCCUCCAAACCACCUAAAUUUUAUCAAAUAUUACUCAAAUAAGUAUAAAUAAGCUUUAAAAACUACCCUCGUACGAAAACAGUUAGAUUUUUAACAUAUUUGAAAGAGUCAACAAAAAGUCAACCCAGGCCUAUGUGGUCGAAAUCCGAAAUUAAGACCAAAUCUUGAUUACCCAUUCACUCUCGAGUCCAAAUAUGAUAUUUGUUUCGAGAUUCGAUCUCAAUUUAAUGUCUAAAUCUCAAUUUUAUAAAAUUCCUAAUUUUUACCCCAAACCUCUAUUUCUAAUAAAUGAAAUUGCAGAUAUGAUAGUGAAAAUUCAUGGGAAAGUAAUGAAAAUUGAAUGUAAUAAGUUAAAGUUACUAACCUUUGAUGUUGAGAAGAAAUUAUUCUUCAAAAAUUGCCUAUGGAAUCUAGGUUUCAAAAUGGUGUAAAAUGAGCUAAGUCCCGAAAUCUCAAUCUUUUACCCAAUUGCAGGUAUCACAAUUGUGAUGUUCGCAUAUGCGAACAACUAUUUGCAAAUGUGAUCAGUUCUUGAGUUCCUCUAAUGUCGCAAAUGCGACAUAAUGAUCGUAAAUGCGAACACUAGGACCAUCACAAAUGUGGAUUUGGCUUUGCAAAAGUUAAGCUAUCCCCUUCUGUUAUGCCGCAUUUUGCGAUGAAAACUUGGCAAAUGUAAAGGCUGAACCCACUGCAAAUGCAAACUAAGCUUCGCAAAAGCGGAGUUGUUAUCCCCUACCCACCAUCACAAAUGCGAGGUUCACAUUUGCGAACAGAUCCUCGCAAAUGCGAGAUCUGCAGUUCAACAACACCAGCAACACAACAGUUAUACCAAAUCAGUUCGUAACCUAUCUGAAACUCACCCGAGCCCCUCGGUCUCCAAUCCGAACAUUCACCACAAGCAUAAUAACAUCAUACAAACUCGCUUACAAACUCUAAUCAUCAAAAUAACAUCUAAAAUCAAGAAUUGAUCCUCAAAACUAAAAAAAAA